RNAcentral lists this ribosomal RNA (494 nucleotides) under uncultured bacterium. RNAcentral's name for it is "partial 16S ribosomal RNA". It matches the Rfam family "Bacterial small subunit ribosomal RNA", at positions 28 to 507 of the family's 1533-position model. The record is from RNAcentral.
GACGAACGCUGGCGGCGUGCUUAACACAUGCAAGUCGAACGGAAAGGCCUGCUUUCCCUUGUGGAUUGCGGGUACUCGAGUGGCGAACGGGUGAGUAACACGUGAGUGAUCUGCCCCCAACUUGGGUAUAAGCCUGGGAAACUGGGUCUAAUUCCCGAUAGGACUGCAGGGUGGUGCCAGUGGUGGGAAACGAUUUUCUAGUGGUUGGGGAUGAGCUCGCGGGCUAUCAGCUUGUUGGUGGGGUAAUGGACUACCAAGGCGGCGAAGGGUAGCCGGGCUGGGAGGGCGGACGGCGAGAGUGAGACUGCGCUACGGCCCAGACUCCUACGGGAGGCAGCAGUGGGGAGUAUUGGAGAGUGGGCGGAAGCCUGAUGCAGCGGCGCCGCGUGGGGGAUGACGGCCUUCGGGUUGUGAACUCCUUUCGACAGCGAGGAUGCCACCUGGUUGGAAGGGUGGUGACGGUAGUGGUAGAAGAAGCACCGGCUAACUACGUG